Bos taurus (domestic cattle) is the source of this 72-nucleotide non-coding RNA. The record is from Rfam. Lineage: Eukaryota; Metazoa; Chordata; Mammalia; Artiodactyla; Bovidae.
UCCUUGGUAGCUUGGACGGUAAAGCGUCUGCCUACAAUGCGGGAGACCCGGGUUCUAUCCCUGGGUCAGGAA